RNAcentral lists this unclassified non-coding RNA (205 nucleotides) under Hevea brasiliensis (rubber tree). Lineage: Eukaryota; Viridiplantae; Streptophyta; Magnoliopsida; Malpighiales; Euphorbiaceae. The record is from RNAcentral.
GAGAAUCCAAAUUUUAAUGUUUUCCGCUGAUCCUGAUCUGCAAGUGAUGUAGCAUUUCUAAGUUCAGUAGAAACAGGAGCCUCGGCUGCUCUUUCUUGUUGCUCCAGCAUCUGCUGCUGCUUCUUACGGGCAUCCGCAAUUUGAGCAAAUUUUGCCAUCUCUCUCUCUUCACGUUGCUGUUCCCGCUUGUUUCUGUCAUCUCGGC